RNAcentral lists this ribosomal RNA (244 nucleotides) under uncultured Staphylococcus sp. Its description in RNAcentral is "partial 16S ribosomal RNA". It matches the Rfam family "Bacterial small subunit ribosomal RNA", at positions 96 to 334 of the family's 1533-position model. The record is from RNAcentral. Lineage: Bacteria; Bacillati; Bacillota; Bacilli; Caryophanales; Staphylococcaceae.
CGGCGGACGGGUGAGUAACACGUAGAUAACCUACCUAUAAGACUGGGAUAACUUCGGGAAACCGGAGCUAAUACCGGAUAAUAUUUUGAACCGCAUGGUUCAAAAGUGAAAGACGGUCUUGCUGUCACUUAUAGAUGGAUCCGCGCUGCAUUAGCUAGUUGGUAAGGUAACGGCUUACCAAGGCAACGAUGCAUAGCCGACCUGAGAGGGUGAUCGGCCACACUGGAACUGAGACACGGUCCAG